Molecule: long non-coding RNA, 2378 nt
Organism: Cercocebus atys (sooty mangabey)
Lineage: Eukaryota; Metazoa; Chordata; Mammalia; Primates; Cercopithecidae
Exons: 4
Source: RefSeq, a predicted model, not a curated record
AAGUAGAAAUAAAAACAAAUUUCACUAGAAGACUGAAAAAAAGAGAGCACCUAAUAAAAAUAAAUGAAAUACACAUGCUACAAAAUGGUUAGCCCUUAAAAACAUACUAUAUAAAAUAAGUCAGUCACAAAAGACCAGAUAUUGUAUAAUUCCAUUUACAUGUGAUGUCCAGAAUAGACAAAUACAGAGAGACAGAAAGUAGAUUGGUAGUUCCCUAGGGCUCUAGGGUUGAGAUACAGUUUGGGGUGAUGGCUGGGUAUGGGGUUUCUUUUGGAAGUAAUGAAAAUGUUCUAACAUUGUGGUGGUGGAUGCAAAACUAAAUAUACUAAAGCCAUUGGAUUGUACACUGAAAAUAAAUGAAUUGUAUGGUGUAUGAAUUAUAUCUUUAAAAAGCUGUUUUAAGAAACACUACAACUUUUGUCUUGAGCUCUCUCUUCUCUCGUUCUGAGGGAAGUCAGCCUCCUAGUCUUGGGGAUACUCAGGCAACUUGCCUAUGGAAAGGUUUUCAUGGCAGACGACUGAGUUUUCCAGCCAACAGCCAGCAAGCAACUGAAGCUUGCCAAUAACCUUGUAAAUGAUGUUUGCUAAUCUGUUGGUGGAAAGUAGCAUCUUAUUAAAGUUGUAGCAUGCUGUUUUCUAAUUUGAGUGAUAAUUAGGCAUAUUUUAACAUGUUUAAAGGUAUUUGUAUGAGGAAGACAAGAAAUAAAAACACAAACUCCAUGUUCAAUGACAUUAGGAAAUAUCUUUAACCCCAAGGCAUAGUACAUAUGAAGGCUAAAAGUGGAUGGAGAAAUGAAAAAUGACUUAGCAAGGCAGAGAAGUUCAAACCUAGGUACUGCAGAGGAAGAGAACACCAGCAAGAAGCACACUAAUUUGUCUUAUGGAACCUCAGAAAGCCACAGCAGAUGACGUAUAUGUGCAAGGAGGGAAGGGGCUGGAUUAUUUAAAGGUCUAUAUAAGGAUCAGAUAGAACCCAGAUCCUUACUCCUACUCCCACCCCAAAUAGACACUUUCCUCUCUUUCCCCAUACAGGAGACAGAAGGUGUCUUCUCUGGAGAAAUUGAAGUAGAAAGGAUCUGGACUUGGGUAUAUCAGGCUCUAAGGAAUGGCCACUUUGUCUCAAAUGGAGGAAUCAGUCAUCAGGAACCCUUAGGCUUUCCACACUUUAAGUGGCAACCUGGAGGAGGAAAAGAGGACAGCUUCAGCUUUUAAGGGCUCUUGGCUCAAAUUUCUACAAGAAUGGUCUGGGGUUGCCUGCUGCAUAGCAAAUCUGCAGUUUGAGAAGUUGCCACUACAAAUAGUGACCCUGGGCUAUGAUGAUGAGGAGACAUGCUCGAAGAAUUUAUUGCCUUUCUGGUCAUGUGCCUAUUAAGUGGUAGUCAGGAUUGAUGUGAACUCAGGUCUUUUUAGCUCCAAAGCUCUUUCUCCUAUAUUCUGCUGCCUCUCAAUGUGCUCAGAUGCGCUGAUAUCCCCACAAUGGAGACAUGGAGGAUUCCAGAGCACAGAUUUUCCUAGCCUGACCUUGUGGCACUAAUGAAUCAGGAAAUCUCAGCCAUUGCUGUCUUUUGCUCUGCCCAAGAAGAAGAAAGCAGGAGCUGUCCAUCUGAAAACAGACUUUUCAGCAGAUAAAGGGAAGCCAGCAGAAGAACUAGCUGGAAUAACGAGAAGUAAUUACUUUGACCUAGAAUUGGGAGAAACGCAGUGCCUUAAUUUAGUCAUAUUUUCUGAUCAUUUUACUAAUUAGAGGAAAUAAAAAGGGAAAAAAGAAAGAGAAGGUGAAUGAGAAGGAAAGGAUGGUAGAUGUGGAUACCUGAGAAGGAUGAAACCAAUUGCUAAUUAUGGUUCCAAUGAGGCAAAAUCAAAACUGAAAUGUCUUUUUUAUAAUUUUGCUUUAGGUAGGGGAAAAAUUUAUUUUACUAUAUUUCAGUUUCUCUACCUAAUAAAUAUUAGAAAAAACCCUUUGUAAUCCUAAUAACUACACCCCCUCUCCUAGGAAAUUGUUCUUGGAUUGUAUUGCUUCCCAAUAUGUAAUACAUAUGUUAUAAUUAAUGAAAAAAUGAGAGUAAAUUUUAUUCAUUUGGACUCCAGUAAUUUAAAGUUUAUAAUAAAAAUCAGUUAUAUGUUCUGCUGAAAUUUCUCUCAUUGGGAAUUCAGGUUUUAAAAAAGACAAUGAUGUCAUUUAAAAAAUAAAUGGUGAUAUUCAACUCAUUUAAGGGCACUAAUUUCCUGUAAGCAAUUUAACACCUAUUUCAUAUUUGCUACUUCAGUCUGACUUCAGAACAACACGAAACCUUAAAUUUAUUCACCAAAAAAACCCUUAAGCCUGGCUUGGUGGUGCACACCUGAAGACUCAGUUACUGGGGAGGUUGAGGUAGGAG